GACGAACGCUGGCGGCGUGCUUAACACAUGCCAGUCGAACGGAAAGGCCUGCUUUCCCUUGUGGAUUGCGGGUACUCGAGUGGCGAACGGGUGAGUAACACGUGAGUGAUCUGCCCCCAACUUGGGUAUAAGCCUGGGAAACUGGGUCUAAUUCCCGAUAGGACUGCAGGGUGGUGCCUGUGGUGGAAAACGAUUUUCUAGUGGUUGGGGAUGAGCUCGCGGCCUAUCAGCUUGUUGGUGGGGUAAUGGCCUACCAAGGCGGCGACGGGUAGCCGGCCUGAGAGGGUGGACGGCCACAUUGGGACUGAGAUACGGCCCAGACUCCUACGGGAGGCAGCAGUGGGGAAUAUUGCACAAUGGGCGGAAGCCUGAUGCAGCGACGCCGCGGGGGGGAUGACGGCCUUCGGGUUGUAAACUCCUUUCGACCGCGAGGAAGCCACCUGGUUGGAAGGGUGGUGACGGUAGUGGUAGAAGAAGCACCGGCUAACUACGCG
Molecule: ribosomal RNA, 494 nt
Filed under: uncultured bacterium
Lineage: Bacteria
Description: partial 16S ribosomal RNA
Rfam family: Bacterial small subunit ribosomal RNA
Source: RNAcentral